UGGCGGGACGGGUAGUAACGCGUAAAGAACUUGCCCUUUAGACUGGGAUAACAGAGGGAAACUUCUGAUAAUACUGGAUAAGUUAGUAUAUCGCAUGAUAUGCAAAUGAAAGCUACGGCACUAAAGGAGAGCUUUGCGUCCUAUUAGCUAGUUGGUAAGGUAAGAGCUUACCAAGGCGAUGAUAGGUAGCCGGCCUGAGAGGGUGGACGGCCACAAGGGGACUGAGAUACGGCCCUUACUCCUACGGGAGGCAGCAGCG
This 259-nucleotide ribosomal RNA is filed under the name uncultured Leptotrichia sp. RNAcentral's name for it is "partial 16S ribosomal RNA". It matches the Rfam family "Bacterial small subunit ribosomal RNA", at positions 96 to 356 of the family's 1533-position model. Lineage: Bacteria; Fusobacteriati; Fusobacteriota; Fusobacteriia; Fusobacteriales; Leptotrichiaceae. The record is from RNAcentral.